UGGGGAAUAUUGCACAAUGGGCGCAAGCCUGAUGCAGCCAUGCCGCGUGUGUGAAGAAGGCCUUCGGGUUGUAAAGCACUUUCAGCGGGGAGGAAGGCGAUAAGGUUAAUAACCUCAUCGAUUGACGUUACCCGCAGAAGAAGCACCGGCUAACUCCGUGCCAGCAGCCGCGGUAAUACGGAGGGUGCAAGCGUUAAUCGGAAUUACUGGGCGUAAAGCGCACGCAGGCGGUCUGUCAAGUCGGAUGUGAAAUCCCCGGGUUCAACCUGGGAACUGCAUUCGAAACUGGCAGGCUAGAGUCUUGUAGAGGGGGGUAGAAUUCCAGGUGUAGCGGUGAAAUGCGUAGAGAUCUGGAGGAAUACCGGUGGCGGAGGCGGCCCCCUGGACAGAGACUGACGCUCAGGUGCGAAAGCGUGGGGAGCAAACAGG
This 429-nucleotide ribosomal RNA is filed under the name Chloroflexota bacterium. Its description in RNAcentral is "Chloroflexi bacterium partial 16S ribosomal RNA". It matches the Rfam family "Bacterial small subunit ribosomal RNA", at positions 355 to 776 of the family's 1533-position model. The record is from RNAcentral. Lineage: Bacteria; Bacillati; Chloroflexota.